Molecule: ribosomal RNA, 484 nt
Filed under: uncultured bacterium
Lineage: Bacteria
Description: partial 16S ribosomal RNA
Rfam family: Bacterial small subunit ribosomal RNA
Source: RNAcentral
AUUGAACGCUGGCGGCAGGCCUAACACAUGCAAGUCGAGCGGAUGAAGGGAGCUUGCUCCUGGAUUCAGCGGCGGACGGGUGAGUAAUGCCUAGGAAUCUGCCAGGUAGUGGGGGAUAACGUCCGGAAACGGGCGCUAAUACCGCAUACGUCCUGAGGGAGAAAGUGGGGGAUCUUCGGACCUCACGCCAUCAGAUGAGCCUAGGUCUGAUUAGCGAGUUGGUGGGGUAAAGGCCUACCAAGGCGACGAGCCGUAACUGGUCUGAGAGGAUGAUCAGUCACACUGUAAGUGAGACACGUUCCAGACUCCUACAGGAGGCAGCAGCGCGGACUAUUGGACGAUGGGCGAGAGCCUGAUCCUGCCAUGCCGCGUCUGUCCAGAAGGUCUUCGGAUUGUAAAGCACUUUAGGUUUGGGGGAAGGGCAGUAACUUAAUACGCUGCUGUCUUGACGUUACCUACAGAAUAAGCACCGGCUAACUUCGUG